GUCGGUUAGGUGUAGGUGUUGCAUGUUAAUUUUUCGUGUUAGAGGUAGUUUUGGAA
RNAcentral lists this transfer RNA (56 nucleotides) under Paragonimus skrjabini miyazakii. RNAcentral describes it as "tRNA-Glu". Lineage: Eukaryota; Metazoa; Platyhelminthes; Trematoda; Plagiorchiida; Troglotrematidae. The record is from RNAcentral.